UUUCUGUAGGUGAACGUGCGGAAGGAUCAUUAUUGAUUGUUGCCAGCGCUUGAUUGCGCGGCGGCCCUUUCUACCCAUGCUUAUACGUAUUAAAUCUGUGGGCAACCACACUAAACACAACUAAACUUUUAAAACACACAGUCAAACACAAAAACAAAAUAUUCAAAACUUUCAACAACGGAUCUCUUGGUUCUCGCAACGAUGAAGAACGCAGCGAAUUGCGAUAAGUAUUGUGAAUUGCAGAUUUUCGUGAAUCAUCGAAUCUUUGAACGCACAUUGCGCCCUCUGGUAUUCCGGAGGGCAUGCCUGUUUGAGCGUCAUUUCUCUCUCAAGACGCAAGUUUUGGUAUUGAGUGAUACUCUCUCUGGAGUUAACUUGAAAUAGGAGGAUGCGUGGGCGUGACAUGAGCGCGUGCGAUAAGGAUAAUGUAUUAGGUUCUGCCGACUCGUUAUGUAUUAUUGUAUUACCUCGGUAACACCCAGCACAACAAAACUCCCAAGUUUGACCUCAAAUCAGGUAGGACAACCCGCUGAACUUAA
This 539-nucleotide ribosomal RNA is filed under the name Wickerhamomyces xylosivorus. RNAcentral describes it as "eukaryotic LSU rRNA". The stretch from base 167 to 320 matches the Rfam family "5.8S ribosomal RNA". Lineage: Eukaryota; Fungi; Ascomycota; Saccharomycetes; Phaffomycetales; Wickerhamomycetaceae. The record is from RNAcentral.